UUCAGUCAAGUAUUCCUCUUGUUGAUUUGUCUAGAGGUAAUAAAGAUACUCAAAAAAUGUUGACGAAAUAUUUAAC
RNAcentral lists this transfer RNA (76 nucleotides) under Shewanella putrefaciens. RNAcentral's name for it is "tRNA-Phe". Lineage: Bacteria; Pseudomonadati; Pseudomonadota; Gammaproteobacteria; Alteromonadales; Shewanellaceae. The record is from RNAcentral.